Molecule: ribosomal RNA, 503 nt
Filed under: uncultured bacterium
Lineage: Bacteria
Description: bacterial SSU rRNA
Rfam family: Bacterial small subunit ribosomal RNA
Source: RNAcentral
GAUGAACGCUAGCGGCAGGCCUAAUACAUGCAAGACGAACGGUAAGUUGAGUAGCAAUACUUAGCCAAGAGUGUCGUACGGGUGCGUAACACGUAUGCAACCUACCCUAUACAGGAGGAUAGCCUAGGGAAACCUGGAUUAACCCUUCAUAGUAUUAUUGGAUGGCAUCAUUUGAUAAUUAAAACUGAGGUGGUAUAGGAUGGGCAUGCGUCUGAUUAGUUAGUUGGCGGGUAAUGGCCCACCAAGACGAUGAUCAGUAGGGGUUCUGAGAGGAAGAUCCCCCACACUGGCACUGAGAUACGGGCCAGACUCCUACGGGAGGCAGUAGUAGGGAAUAUUGGUCAAUGGAUGCAAGUCUGAACCAGCCAUGCCGCGUGCAGGAAGAAGGGCCUUUCUGGGUUGUAAACUGCUUUUUGCCAGGGGAUAAAAUUUCCAUGCGUGGAAAACUGAAGGUACCUGGUGAAUAAGCCACGGGCUAACUACGUGCCAGCAGCCGCGGUAAU